This 163-nucleotide small nuclear RNA is filed under the name Salmo salar (Atlantic salmon). RNAcentral's name for it is "U1 spliceosomal RNA". It matches the Rfam family "U1 spliceosomal RNA". Rfam says of the family: U1 is a small nuclear RNA (snRNA) component of the spliceosome (involved in pre-mRNA splicing). Its 5' end forms complementary base pairs with the 5' splice junction, thus defining the 5' donor site of an intron. The record is from Rfam by way of RNAcentral. Lineage: Eukaryota; Metazoa; Chordata; Actinopteri; Salmoniformes; Salmonidae.
AUACUUACCUGGCAAGGGAGACACCGUGAUCAAGAAGGCGGUUCACACAGGGCGAGGCUCAGCCAUUGCACUCCGGCUGUGCUGACCCCUGCGAAUUUCCCAAAUGUGGAAAUCUCGAUUGCAUAAUUCUGGUAGUGGGGGACUGCGUUCGCGCUCUCCCCUG